This 274-nucleotide long non-coding RNA is filed under the name Zonotrichia albicollis (white-throated sparrow). RNAcentral describes it as "lncRNA (ENSZALG00000014725.1)". Lineage: Eukaryota; Metazoa; Chordata; Aves; Passeriformes; Passerellidae. The record is from RNAcentral.
UCAAAGAAAAAUCCAUAUGUAUUUUGUCAUUUUUCUUAAAUCUCUUUCAUCUACAGGUGCUUCCAACCAUUCUUAUUCACUGGGUACUGUGAUGAUGGGAAAGAAGAAUCCUUCACACCAAACUGAAUCUAAGGAUAAGUUGAUCUUCUCUUUGACCAGCCAUAAGGGGCAGAAGAGAGGAACAUCCUGUCAAGAUAAACAGGAGGCUUGGCUGCACAGACAGACCCAGGAGAAAUCCUGCUUUUGGAAAUUGCAUUGUGUACUCAGGCUUUGA